AAUGAACGCUGGCGGCAUGCCUAACACAUGCAAGUCGAACGAAGGCUUCGGCCUUAGUGGCGCACGGGUUCGUAACGCGUGGGAAUCUGACCUCAGGUUCGGAAUAACAGCGAGAAAUUGCUGCUAAUACCGGAUGAUAUCGCGAGAUCAAAGAUUUAUCGCCUGAGGAUGAGCCCGCGUAGGAUUAGCUAGUUGGUGUGGUAAAGGCGCACAAAGGCGACGAUCCUUAGCUGGUCUGAGAGGAUGAUCAGCCACACUGGGACUGAGACACGGCCCAGACUCCUACGGGAGGCAGCAGUGGGGAAUAUUGGACAAUGGGCGAAAGCCUGAUCCAGCAAUGCCGCGUGAGUGAUGAAGGCCUUAGGGUUGUAAAGCUCUUUUACCCGGGAUGAUAAUGACAGUACCGGGAGAAUAAGCUCCGGCUAACCCCGGGCCAGCCGUCGCCGUAA
RNAcentral lists this ribosomal RNA (449 nucleotides) under uncultured bacterium. RNAcentral's name for it is "partial 16S ribosomal RNA". It matches the Rfam family "Bacterial small subunit ribosomal RNA", at positions 29 to 523 of the family's 1533-position model. The record is from RNAcentral.